CCUACGGGUGGCUGCAGUGGGGAAUAUUGGACAAUGGGGGGAACCCUGAUCCAGCGACGCCGCGUGAGUGAAGAAGUAUUUCGGUAUGUAAAGCUCUAUCAGCAGGGAAGAAAGAAAUGACGGUACCUGACUAAGAAGCCUCGGAUAACUACGUGCCCGCAGCCGCGGUAACAUGGAGGGGGCAAGCGUUAUCCGGAUUUACUGGGUGUAAAGGGAGCGUAGACGGUUACGCAAGUCUGGAGUGAAAGGCGGGGGCCCAACCCCCGGACUGCUUUGGGAACUGUAUUACUGGAGUGCAGGAGAGGUAAGUGGAAUUCCUGGUGUAGCGGUGAAAUGCGUAGAUAUUAGGAGGAACACCAGUGGCGAAGGCGGCUUACUGGACUGUAACUGACGUUGAGGCUCGAAAGCGUGGGGAGCAAACAGGAUUAGAUACCCGAGUAGUC
RNAcentral lists this ribosomal RNA (443 nucleotides) under uncultured bacterium. RNAcentral's name for it is "partial 16S ribosomal RNA". It matches the Rfam family "Bacterial small subunit ribosomal RNA", at positions 338 to 795 of the family's 1533-position model. The record is from RNAcentral.